GUCCCAUAGCGCGGCGCACAAUUGGUCCAGCGUCAUCCGGGCCGUCAUUGUAAAUAAGAGCCGCCUUGCCUAGGUAAAUAAAGGUUACACACUGACCAAAAGGUUAUUUUGUUGGCAUUUACGUAAGUCCCCAUUACCAGUAAAACAUCAUCAAAACCUAUUUCUUUUCACUUAGCUUGCUGUGCUGUCAACCAGGAUUUCUAUGGAACGACUUUUGCGUGUCAAAAAAGAUACACGUCAAAUAUUUGACCAAUCAGGGACCUGAAUAUGACUCCACGUCACAAUAAUAAUUUAACUCGUCCAUUUAUUUUUUUUAUGUAGUUAUUACACAUUGAUUACACUAUCACUCGUAUUUCAUAUGUCACACCGAUUCAUCGAUACGUACGCUAUGAUGCUAAGUUGUCUCGCGCACCAACAGUGCUGGUCAUAACAAAAGCUAGCUAGCUCAUGGAUGCAACGACUCCUCGUGUUGCCGAUUACCAGCAACUUCAGGAGAGUAAUGGCAGAAUCUGCGAAAAGCCAGCAGGAGUGGGAGGAGAAUAGUUGGGUCUGGAUCUCUGGCGCCCUCUUGAGGCAUCAAACCGUAAGCUGAAAGCAUCAGACACGCUCAGUGCAUAUAGUUGAUUUUAUUAAAACACACAGGGUGUUUCUAGAUAUGGAAAAAUACAACACAGGGUGUUUCUAGAUAUGGAAAAAUACAAGUGUAAAAAUUCUGUCAACCAAAAUUGUUCUUAGUUGGGGAAAAGCCCUAGUAUUGAUUUAUUUUGUGUUGUUCCUCAUCAACCUUGAGAAAGAAAGAUGCUCUGUAGAGGCUCAAUUACGCCAAGAUUAUUCAGAUCCCCUUUGCUUUUGUUAUGAAGGAAUAAGAGCUAAAUACAAAAGCCAAAACAAGGAUCCUAGCUGUUUAGACAGAGGGUCAUGCAGUAGUAUCCAGACAAGGAUCCUAGCUGUUUAGACAGAGGGUCAUGAAGUAGUAUCCAGACAAGGAUCCUAGCUGUUUAGACAGAGGGUCAUGAAGGAGUAUCCAGACAAGGAUCCUAGCUGUUUAGACAGAGGGUCAUGAAGUAGUAUCCAGACAAGGAUCCUAGCUGUUCAGACAGAGGGUCAUGAAGUAGUAUCCAGACAAGGAUCCUAGCUGUUUAGACAGAGGGUCAUGAAGUAGUAUCCAGACAAGGAUCCUAGCUGUUCAGACAGAGGGUCAUGAAGUAGUAUCCAGACAAGGAUCCUAGCUGUUUAGACAGAGGGUCAUGAAGUAGUAUCCAGACAAGGAUCCUAGCUGUUUAGACAGAGGGUGAGGCCCCACACAUAGAAAUACAAUUACCAAUAACAGCAUUCCCAUUCAAGUCCGCUGUGUUAUCCGAUGUGUGGACCCAAGCGGCUAGGUUGAAGAUACCCAGUGUUAGGUCAAGUUAUGAAGAAGAAACAGAAUCGUGGAACCAACGCCGUUGGCUAACUGGCAUCUCAGACCCCUUAGUUUAGAAUUCAACUUAGCCGAGCAGCAGACAUAUUGACUUCACCCGUAAGUGUUGCCACCAUUGGUCCGGGUUGCUUUAUUCUAUUAAUUGUAUUUCUAUGGCUACACACUGGCGAACUGGCUUUAUCCUGUCUAGUGACUCUAUUUCUAUGGCCACACACUGGCUGCCUGGGAGAGACGGAGGGAAGCAUAGCAGCUUAGACAGACUCAGAGAGAGAGAGAGAGAGAGAGAGAGAGAGAGAGAGAGAGAGAGAGAGAGAGAGAGAGAGAGAGAGAGAGAGAGAGAGAGAGAGAGAGAGAGAGAGAGAGAGAGAGAGAGAGAGAGAGAGAGAGAGAGAGAGAGAGAGAGAGAGAGAGAGAGAGAGAAAGAGAGAGAGAGAGGUCUUACUUAUAGAAAUAUAAUUACCAGAAUGAACAUUCCCAUUCAAGUCAAUGUUCUGUGAUGAGUGAACUGGCUUUAUCCUGUCUAGUGACUCUAUUUCUAUGGCCACACACUGGCUGCCUGGGAGAGACAGAGAGAGACAGAAAGAGGCUCUUAAACGGCCCCUCACACACAGGGCCCCAGGGGUAGAACCUGGAGAAAGACGUCCAGCCGGGCCGUUGCCAAGCGACAGAGAGGGGGAGUUAAUCACAUGACAGGGCCAGGACGGUGGCAACGUGUCGGCGAGGCAACGGGUCGGCUAUCUGACACCAGACACAGACAAGCCAGUGUCUACUGUGAUUCGCUGAGAGGGAGGGAGAUGGGAGGGAGGGGGCAGGAGGGAGAAGUUUUUGGAACGCAUCACCGCCCUUCUUCUCCACCUCCUCCUCCUCAGACUCUAACACAGAACAAAUCAACAGAGGAAUGCCAGAUUAGUGAAGAGGAAAAUGAGAGGGGGGAGACAAAGAGAGAGGACGGGUUAGGAAAGGGAGAGGAGAGAGAGCGAGAGGAGAGAGAGUGAGAGGAGAGGAGAGAGAGUGAGAGGAGAGAGCGAUCGAGAGGAGAGAGCGAUCGAGAGGAGAGAGUGAGAGGAGAGAGAGCGAGAGGAGAGAAAGGGAGAGGAGAGAGAGCGAGAGGAGAGAAAGGGAGAGGAGAGAGAGCGAGAGGAGAGAGAGCGAGAGGAGAGAGAGCGAGAGGAGAGAGAGCGAGAGGAGAGAUAGUGAGAGGAGAGAGAGAGAGGGAGAGAGAGGAGAGAGAGAGAGCGAGAGGAGAGAGAGAGAGAGAGAGAGUGAGAGGAGAGAGAGCGAGGAGAGAAGGGGAUUAGUCAUGUGAAGUGAAGAGGCUUUAAUUGAAUCCAGUGUUCUCUGCAUAGUGUAGUUUUAACUAUAAUUUAUUUUACUCCGUCUGCCAGGCUUCCUGGUCUCCAUCCAACCCUUAAGGAGGCUCAAUGAUUUCACUACACAGAUCAGACACACACACACACACACACACACACACACACACACACACACACACACACACACACACACACACACACACACACACACACACACACACACACACACACACACACACACACACACACAAAGAGGCUCGGUGACUACACCACACAGAUCUGAGACAGAGCAGAGAGCCCAUUUCAAACCCCUUCACUCUAUCACUAAAUAUGUCAGCAUCACAAAAAAUGGGACCUCGUUCCCUACAUAGUGCACUACUUUUGACAAGAGCCCUAUGUGUCCUGGUCCAAUGUAGUGCACUACAUAAGAAAUAGGGUGUUAUUUGGAACACUGGUGCAACCUAGAACACAGAACUGCUGCUGUUUGUUCUUCUGUGUUGACGAUAGGGACCGAGUGGUAGAACGGUCUAGAUGCGUCACUACAGACCCGGGUUCGAUCCCGGGCUGUAUCACAACCGUCUGUGAUCAGGAGUCCCAUAGGGCGGCGCACAAUUGGCCCAUCAACGCCCGGGUUAUGGUACGGUUUGUCGGGGGUAGGCCGUCAACGUAAAAUAAAAAACUAUUCUUAACUGGCUGUUUCUAGAAUGUUUUGCAAAUGUAUUAAAAAUGACAAACAGAAAUACAUUAUGUACAUAGGUAUUCACCCUUUGCGAUGAGACUCGAAAUUGAGCUCAGGUGCAUCCUGUUUCCAUUGAUCAUCCUUGAGAUGUUUCUACACCGUGAUUGUUUGCUGUGAGACUCUAAAUUGAGCUCAGGUGCAUCCUGUUUCCAUUGAUCAUCCUUGAGAUGUUUCUACACCGUGAUUGUUUGCUGUGAGACUCUAAAUUGAGCUCAGGUGCAUCCUGUUUCCAUUGAUCAUCCUUGAGAUGUUUCUACACCGUGAUUGUUUGCUGUGAGACUCUAAAUUGAGCUCAGGUGCAUCCUGUUUCCAUUGAUCAUCCUUGAGAUGUUUCUACACCGUGAUUGUUUGCUGUGAGACUCUAAAUUGAGCUCAGGUGCAUCCUGUUUCCAUUGAUCAUCCUUGAGAUGUUUCUACACCGUGAUUGUUUGCUGUGAGACUCUAAAUUGAGCUCAGGUGCAUCCUGUUUCCAUUGAUCAUCCUUGAGAUGUUUCUACACCGUGAUUGUUUGCUGUGAGACUCUAAAUUGAGCUCAGGUGCAUCCUGUUUCCAUUGAUCAUCCUUGAGAUGUUUCUACACCGUGAUUGUUUGCUGUGAGACUCUAAAUUGAGCUCAGGUGCAUCCUGUUUCCAUUGAUCAUCCUUGAGAUGUUUCUACACCGUGAUUGUUUGCUGUGAGACUCUAAAUUGAGCUCAGGUGCAUCCUGUUUCCAUUGAUCAUCCUUGAGAUGUUUCUACACCGUGAUUGUUUGCUGUGAGACUCUAAAUUGAGCUCAGGUGCAUCCUGUUUCCAUUGAUCAUCCUUGAGAUGUUUCUACACCGUGAUUGUUUACUGUGAGACUCUAAAUUGAGCUCAGGUGCAUCCUGUUUCCAUUGAUCAUCCUUGAGAUGUUUCUACACGGUGAUUGUUUGCUGUGAGACUCUAAAUUGAGCUCAGGUGCAUCCUGUUUCCAUUGAUCAUCCUUGAGAUGUUUCUACACCGUGAUUGUUUGCUGUGAGACUCUAAAUUGAGCUCAGGUGCAUCCUGUUUCCAUUGAUCAUCCUUGAGAUGUUUCUACACCGUGAUUGUUUGCUGUGAGACUCUAAAUUGAGCUCAGGUGCAUCCUGUUUCCAUUGAUCAUCCUUGAGAUGUUUCUACACCGUGAUUGUUUGCUGUGAGACUCUAAAUUGAGCUCAGGUGCAUCCUGUUUCCAUUGAUCAUCCUUGAGAUGUUUCUACACCGUGAUUGUUUGCUGUGAGACUCUAAAUUGAGCUCAGGUGCAUCCUGUUUCCAUUGAUCAUCCUUGAGAUGUUUCUACACCGUGAUUGUUUGCUGUGAGACUCUAAAUUGAGCUCAGGUGCAUCCUGUUUCCAUUGAUCAUCCUUGAGAUGUUUCUACACCUUGAUUGGAGUCCACCUGGUGGUCAAUUCAAUGGAUUGGACCUGAUUUGAAAAGGCACACACCUGUCUAUAUAAGGUCCCAUAGUUGACAGUGCAUGUCAGAGUAAAAACCAAAGCUUGGUUGAAAUGUUGGUGACAUGGUUGAAAUAUUGGUGACAUGGUUGAAGUAUUGGUGA
Oncorhynchus keta (chum salmon) is the source of this 5024-nucleotide long non-coding RNA. RefSeq lists it as uncharacterized. Lineage: Eukaryota; Metazoa; Chordata; Actinopteri; Salmoniformes; Salmonidae. The transcript is spliced from 3 exons. The record is from RefSeq and is a predicted model, not a curated record.